This 893-nucleotide ribosomal RNA is filed under the name uncultured bacterium. RNAcentral's name for it is "bacterial SSU rRNA". It matches the Rfam family "Bacterial small subunit ribosomal RNA", at positions 9 to 951 of the family's 1533-position model. The record is from RNAcentral.
GAGUUUGAUCCUGGCUCAGAGCGAACGCUGGCGGCAGGCCUAACACAUGCAAGUCGAACGGACCCUUCGGGGUUAGUGGCGGACGGGUGAGUAACACGUGGGAACGUGCCUUUUGGUUCGGAAUAGCUCCUGGAAACGGGUGGUAAUGCCGAAUGUGCCCUUCGGGGGAAAGAUUUAUCGCCAUUAGAGCGGCCCGCGUCUGAUUAGCUAGUUGGUGAGGUAAAGGCUCACCAAGGCUUCGAUCAGUAGCUGGUCUGAGAGGAUGACCAGCCACAUUGGGACUGAGACACGGCCCAAACUCCUACGGGAGGCAGCAGUGGGGAAUCUUGCGCAAUGGGCGAAAGCCUGACGCAGCCAUGCCGCGUGAAUGAUGAAGGCCUUAGGAUUGUAAAAUUCUUUCAGUAGGGACGAUAAUGACGGUACCUACAGAAGAAGCCCCGGCUAACUUCGUGCCAGCAGCCGCGGUAAUACGAAGGGGGCUAGCGUUGCUCGGAAUUACUGGGCGUAAAGGGAGCGUAGGCGGACAUUUAAGUCAGGGGUGAAAUCCCAGAGCUCAACUCUGGAACUGCCUUUGAUACUGGAUGUCUUGAGUGUGAGAGAGGUAUGUGGAACUCCGAGUGUAGAGGUGAAAUUCGUAGAUAUUCGGAAGAACACCAGUGGCGAAGGCGACAUACUGGCUCAUUACUGACGCUGAGGCUCGAAAGCGUGGGGAGCAAACAGGAUUAGAUACCCUGGUAGUCCACGCCGUAAACGAUGAUUGCUAGUUGUCGGGGAGUUUACUUCUCGGUGACGCAGCUAACGCAUUAAGCAAUCCGCCUGGGAGUACGGGUCGCAAGAUUAAAACUCAAAGGAAUUGACGGGGGCCCGCACAAGCGGUGAGCAUGUGUUUAAUU